ACUGGAAGGGCUCAGAGGAGACUGAGAGCUGGAAUCAGUGUAAACUGGUGAGAAUUCAAAUUGUUGAAAGUUUGUUUUCUAUUCUUCCUCCUCCAAGAAGAUGCAGUGGAAUUUGCCAAGGGGGAAAUGACAGUGAAAUAAUUAAUUACCUAUAGAUUUCCUAUAUGUUUCUCAUCUAUUUUUCAUUCUGUAAGCUUUUCACAAACACCCUCAUGUUUUUGUUCUCUGCAUUGCAGAAACUUGAUGACAAUUUGAUUCAGGAGGUUUAUUGCUUUGAUCCAACUGCUUCAUCCGUGCAAGUUAAAGCAGAGCUGCUGCUGGACCUCAUCACUGGUGUCCCACAAGCAGCAGAGUGGCAGCAGAACUCUGCUCCAGCUGAAUACCUGUACCAGUGGCUUCACACCUGCCUGGCACUUGUGGAGAUCACAAAAAGCCAACGCACUGGAAAAAACCAUCCUUAGCCCCUUUUGGCAUCCAGUUCUUGUGUGCCUUUAAUUAAAUAUCUCAAUUUCUCAUCUAACCCUUGUGAUUCUGGUGUUUCAUAUAUUUUAUUAAAUUAACUGUUGAUUUUCUAUUUUUUUUUGCAUAGGCACUAGUAUUUGUUGUUAAAAUGGCUUAAUUCUGUUAGGGAUUAUGAGUUAAGGUGAUAGGGAGUCUGUUAAGGAUUGAGAGGAAUGACAGGUUUGUCUUUACAAACAAGCUGUGCUGAUAAUAUGAAGCUAUCACUGAGAAAUAACAGAAACAAUGGGGUGGAUUCCACUGAAAGAUGAAAGAGACACUGGGGAAACACCAUAAAAUUCAACAAGAAUUAAGAAUUAAGAAGGGUUGUGCAUUGGGAGGGGGUAUCUCAGGUAUCAGGCGUUCUGGGAAGUCUGUACCUCUCAAGUACCUCAGCCUAUGGGGAAAGAGAGAAGGGACAUACAGACGGGAAUUAGGAUAAAAGGGAGGCUGCGCCCUCCAAAAAUUUGGGAGACCCCAGGAGAAUGCCCCAUGGCCUCUCCCUUUAUUCAAAUAAAGUAAAAGGACUCCCCUGUCUCCUUUUUUGG
This 1046-nucleotide long non-coding RNA is filed under the name Cyanistes caeruleus (blue tit). RNAcentral describes it as "lncRNA (ENSCCEG00000005933.1)". The record is from RNAcentral. Lineage: Eukaryota; Metazoa; Chordata; Aves; Passeriformes; Paridae.